GAACGCUGGCGGCAAGCCUUACACAUGCAAGUCGAGCGGUAACAUUUCUAGCUUGCUAGAAGAUGACGAGCGGCGGACGGGUGAGUAAAGCAUAGGAAUCUGGCCAAUAGGAGGGGGAUACGCCCGGAAGAAAUCCGGAUUUAAUACCGCAUACACUCUAUGGGAGAAAAAGCGAGGGGAUCGUUCCGGACCUUGCGCUAGUUGGAUGAGCCUAUGUCGGAUUAGUUAGUUGGUGGGGUAAAGGCCUACCAAGGCGACGAUCCGUAGCUGGUCUUAGAGGAUGAUCAGCCACAUCGGGACUGAGACACGGCCCGAACUCCUACGGGAGGCAGCAGUGGGGAAUAUUGCACAAUGGGCGCAAGCCUGAUGCAGCUAUGCCGCGUGCGUGAAGAAGGCCUUAGGGUUGUAAAGCACUUUCAGUAGUGAGGAAAAGUGUUGCGUUAAUAGCGCAAUGCUGUGACGUUAGCUACAGAAGAAGGACCGGCAAACUCCGUG
RNAcentral lists this ribosomal RNA (495 nucleotides) under uncultured bacterium. RNAcentral describes it as "bacterial SSU rRNA". It matches the Rfam family "Bacterial small subunit ribosomal RNA", at positions 31 to 507 of the family's 1533-position model. The record is from RNAcentral.